GAUGAACGCUGGCGGCGUGCCUAAUACAUGCAAGUCGAGCGAACAGACGAGGAGCUUGCUCCUCUGACGUUAGCGGCGGACGGGUGAGUAACACGUGGAUCACCUACCUAUAAGACUGGGAUAACUUCGGGAAACCGGAGCUAAUACCGGAUAAUAUAUUGAACCGCAUGGUUCAAUAGUGAAAGACGGUUUUGCUGUCACUUCUAGAUGGAUCCGCGCCGCAUUAGCUAGUUGGUAAGGUAACGGCUUACCAAGGCAACGAUGCGUAGCCGACCUGAGAGGGUGAUAGGCCACACUGGAACUGAGACACGGUCCAGACUCCUACGGGAGGCAGCAGUAGGGAAUCUUCCGCAAUGGGCGAAAGCUUGACGGAGCAACGCCGCGUGAGUGAUGAAGGUCUUCGGAUCGUAAAACUCUGUUAUUAGGGAAGAACAAAUGUGUAAGUAACUAUGCACGUCUUGACGGUACCUAAUCAGAAAGCCACGGCUAACUACGUG
This 497-nucleotide ribosomal RNA is filed under the name uncultured bacterium. Its description in RNAcentral is "partial 16S ribosomal RNA". It matches the Rfam family "Bacterial small subunit ribosomal RNA", at positions 28 to 507 of the family's 1533-position model. The record is from RNAcentral.